AGAAAGUAAUGCAAGAACUGCUAAUUCNAUGCUUCCGCGCUUAUAAUCGCGGCUUUCUU
This 59-nucleotide transfer RNA is filed under the name Lariscus insignis (three-striped ground squirrel). RNAcentral describes it as "tRNA-Ser". Lineage: Eukaryota; Metazoa; Chordata; Mammalia; Rodentia; Sciuridae. The record is from RNAcentral.